UAGGGAAUCUUGGACAAUGGGCGAAAGCCUGAUCCAGCCAUGCCGCGUGAGUGAUGAAGGCCCUAGGGUUGUAAAGCUCUUUCGCCCGGGAAGAUAAUGACGGUACCUGGAUAAGAAGCCCCGGCUAACUUCGUGCCAGCAGCAGCGGUAAUACGAAGGGGGCUAGCGUUGUUCGGAAUUACUGGGCGUAAAGCGCACGUAGGCGGUUUUCCAAGUUGGAGGUGAAAUCCCCGGGCUAAACCUGGGAACUGCCUCCAAGACUGGGAGACUCGAGUCCGAGAGAGGUGAGUGGAAUUUCCAGUGUAGAGGUGAAAUUCGUAGAUAUUGGAAAGAACACCAGUGGCGAAGGCGGCUCACUGGCUCAGUACUGACGCUGAGGAGCGACAGCGUGGGGAGCAAA
Molecule: ribosomal RNA, 400 nt
Filed under: uncultured bacterium
Lineage: Bacteria
Description: bacterial SSU rRNA
Rfam family: Bacterial small subunit ribosomal RNA
Source: RNAcentral